This 4026-nucleotide long non-coding RNA is filed under the name Podarcis lilfordi (Lilford's wall lizard). Lineage: Eukaryota; Metazoa; Chordata; Lepidosauria; Squamata; Lacertidae. The record is from RNAcentral.
CUUACCAGAAUAAGGCCAGGAGUUGCUGAGUGAGCAAUGUGCCUGCUUGUAAGCCAAGCGAAGUAACAUAGGAAACAUGGCGAGAAGGAGAAGGAAGGAUUGUGUCCGGAAUGGGAGAAAUGGAAGCAGAAAAAAUGAGGUAUUAGCCAAAUAUUCCCUGUGGAUUAAUAUGCAUCCCAGUAUUCCUAGGAAUAGGUUAAAAAAACACUGAGAGUUUUUUUCUUUUUCUUUUUAAAAAAGUUUAAGGGUACAGUGGUGCCCCACAAGACGAAUGCCUCGCAAGACGGAAAACCCGCUAGACGAAAGGGUUUUCCGUUUUUGAGUUGCUUCGCAGGACGAAUUUCCCUAUGGGCUUGCUUCGCAAGACGAAAAUGUCUUGCGAGUCUUGAGAUUUUUUUUUCGCUUUCCCCCCCUUUAUCUAUGCCGCUAAGCCUUUAAUAGCCUUUUAGCAGCUAAUCCAAUAAGCCGAUAAGCCUUUAAUAGCCGCUAAACCGCUAAUAGCGCUAAUCCGUUAAGCCGCUAAUAGGGUUGCUUCGCAAGACGAAAAAACCGCUAGACGAAGACUCUCGCGGAACGGAUUAAUUUCGUCUUGCGAGGCACCACUGUACUCUCAUUUUCCUACUCAUAUUGAAAUGCUACCCCUUAAUGAGGCCAAACUUAGAUUCACAAAAUGUUUAGGGGUAUGUGUAUCCCUGCGUCCCCCCAGAAAAAAAGCACUGGGGAUACCACUAAAUCAAAUUAUUCAUUCUGUUCAGAUCUGCUUGGAUGAGAGUAGCAAUUCCUCAUCUAGGCUCUGAUUACACUUAGACCUAUUUAUAAGGAUUGGCAAAAUCUGCCCAUUUCGGUCUCUCAUUUUUCUAAUCUUAAAAUCAGUUCGCCACAUUGGUUUGCCGUUUAAAAUAAGUAAGUAAAGUGGUACCUUGGUUCUCAAACGGACUAGUUGACGAACAAAUUGGCUCCCGAAAGCUGAAAACCUGGAAGUAAGUGUUCUGGUUUUUGAACAUUUUUUGGAAGUGAAUGUCCGACUCGGCUUCUGCUUGAGUGAAGGAAGCUCCUGCAGCCAAUCAGAAGCUGCGGCUUGGUUUUCGAAUGGUUUCGGGAGUUGAACGAACUUCCAGAAUGGAUUAAGUUCGAGAACCAAGGUUCCACUGUAUGUAUGAACCUUGUCAUAUAAACUUGCUGCUGUAGUCUGAAGUGGUAAAGCUUCAGCCCAGAUUUACUCCCCUCUUCCCUACAUGAGCAGCAUUGCAGGGGAGGAAGUAGUGGAGAUGAGCACAUUCAUUACUGGUGUAAACACCUUUCAGAACCCUCAUUUUCCUGGUUCUAACUGGCACGAGGAGCCUAUAUGACACUUGUGUCACAUGGAAAAACAAACAAGGCCUCUAGCAGGAAUAGGCUUUUGUCUUGCCCUUUGGCAAAAUGUGGAUUGCAAGCACUUUGGGGCAGGACCUUGUGCAGUGAUGGUGCGAAACUUUUCAUAGUUAGCAAAUCAGUUGGUGAUGGAACAGAUUCAGCAAAGCACAAACUGUAUUUUCUCUCUUCGUGUAUAAGUUUAUUUCUUAGAAUCUAACACCUCAUGGAUGUUUUCAUUAGUUAAACAUGCAAGCCUGCUGCUUGAUUGUUAUUAGAUCUGAUCUGUACAGCCAGCAGGGCAGAUAUGUUUUUGCUGCUUCUUUUUUACUACACACAAAUAAGGGGUUUUAUGGGGACUAAAACGUGAGGACUCAUCUCGGAGGCUGACUUCUGGACCACAUUUCGUCCGUGGGGUUUCCUGUCUCUAGUGGAUUCAGUUCAUCAAGGCCUCCUGCUGCAACGGGUCCCUUCACUUUAAUGGGUCUCAGGGCUGUUGUCUUAUCUUCCCCGCUAGGUGUGAUGGGUACAUUGCUUUUUGCAGGGCAGGGUUAUAUGUGUGUUGGGGUGUGUGUGUCCCCCACAGGUUUUGUGUGGGGGUUGACUCUUUGUCAUCCUUAAAUAUUUUGUGGUGCGGAUACCCUUUUAGCCACUGCGGUUGUCAAUUUAAUAAGGGGUUUUAAGAGUAAUCAGUAACUUCAGCUUAAGCACACAUUACACUAAAUGCAUAGCUUGCUGCUGUUUUUUCCCUUCAUUUAGUUACAAGUUCAGGGUCACCACCACCACUCCAUUUCUCAUUGAGACAUCAGAAUGGAGGGAGGGAAGAUUUCACCCUCCCCUCCAAUGGUGCAAAGCCAGUGGAAAACCUUCCCCCAUCCUCAAGUGAAGUUAUAAGGCCUCUCCUCCUCCUCCUUCUUCAAUUUGUAUACUGCCCUUCAUCCAAAGACCACAGGUUCACAACAUAAAAAUACAAAAUGAAAACACAAAAUGCAUAACGAAACAAGCACAAAAGCAAUACCCCCCCACAGACACAUUUAAAAGGCCAUAGAAUGUCAAUCAGCCAAAUGCCUGGUUGAAGAGAAACUAUUAUUUUUAUUUACUAAAUUAUGGGGGAGCUCCCACUGGUUGUCAAAUAGAGAAUUGAAGUAGCUUCUAGUUUGGCCCCCCAGAUGGUAGUUUUCCAAUAUCAUUUUAAGUUACUCCCCGCUUCCCUGUUGAGCAGGCUGUCCUACUCACUGUCCUAAUGGCUACUGGGAUGCAGGUGGCACUGUGGUCUAAACCACUGAGCCUCUUGGGCUUGCUGUUCAGAAGGUCGGCAGUUCAAAUCGCUGCUCCCGUUGCUCUGUCCCAGCUUCUGCCAACCUAGCCGUUCAAAAGCACACCAGUGCAAGUAGAUAAAUAGGUACCACUAUGGCUGGAAGGUAUACGACAUUUCCAUGUGCUCUGGCUUACGUCAUGGUGUCCCGUUGUGCCAGAAACGGUUUAGUCCUGCUGGCCACAUGACCUGGAAAGCUGCGGACAAACGCCGGCUCCCUUGGCCUGAAAGCAAGAUGAGUGCUGCAACCCCAUAGUUGCCUUUGACUGGACUUAACCAGGGGUCCUUUACCUUUUACCUUUUACCUAAUGGCUACCAGGUUUUGUUGUUGUCCAGUGUGACUUAAGGAUAAGUAUGUUUAUGAUCCUGGAAAAAAAAUCCACCCUGAGUCAGGAGUAUUUCUUGAGUGAACAGAACUGUGCCAAGUGGGUGGCAUUCGAGCAUUACAGUGGUACCUCGGGUUAAGAACUUAUUUUGUUCUGGAGGUCCAUUCUUAACCUGAAACUGUUCUUAACCUGAGGUACCACUUUCGCUAAUGGGGCCUCCUGCUGCCGCUGUGCUGCCACCACACAAUUUCUGUUUUCAUCCUGAAGCAAAGUUCUUAACCCGAGGUACUAUUUCUGGGUUAGCGGAAUCUGUAACCUGAAGCGUAUAUAACCUGAAGCGUCUGUAACCCAAGGUACCACUGUAUUGUAACUUUGGUGGUGGGUUGGCUGAGGGUGAGCACCAGCAACUCUACAUUUUUUAUUGAAAACCAGAAAUGUUCCCAUUCUUAAAAACAAGCUUUCAUUCAUUAACUAGAGGUUGUCAUCUCAUGAGUUAAAAAAGCCAAUUUCAUGCAACCAAUUUCACAUUAGGCAAAUAAGUGUUCCAGGCAGGCAGCGCACCCAUUGGCCCCAUCUUGGCUACAGCCCAUCUUGCAAGGCACCCAGUCAAUUUAAAUGGACAGGGAUUGCACAAAAGGGAGCAUUUGGCCAAUUGCACAAAGUGUCUCUCUCUCUCACACACACACACGGCUCAUUUUCUUUUCAGCAUCAAGGUGGAGGCGGAGGACAGAGGCAGCCCUGGCACGGCUAGAGAUUGAAAGGCUCUAGGGGAAAACUAACAGCACGGAACAGAGAUGCAUGCAAAUUUUGGGAAAGUGAUUACAUCACCUGGUGCUCACGCUACUAUGUAGCCCAGAGGAAUUAAACUUACCAGUCAGAACUCGCAGAAAACGAUGAUUUUAUGGGCCUAACGAUCUGUGCUGGUAGUUUUAAGGGAAAGAGAAACGGAUCAGCCACCCUCAUAAAAUAGUUGCAAAGUGGAAAAAUGAAUCAGUGAAGAUAUAACCCAGUAUUAAAAAUAGUAAACGAAGAAAG